CCUACGGGUGGCUGCAGUGGGGAAUAUUGCACAAUGGGGGAAACCCUGAUGCAGCGACGCCGCGUGAGGGAAGAAGGAAUUCGGUUUGUAAACUUCUAUUCGCAGGGAAGAAAAUGACGGUACCUGAGUAAGCAGGCCCCGCUAAAUACGUGCCAGCAGCCGCGGGAAUACGUAGGUGGCAAGCGUUUUCCGGGUUUACUGGGUGUAAAGGGAGCGUAGACGGCAGGGCAAGUCAGGUGUGAAAGGCGCGGGCUCAACCUCCGGACUGCACUUGAAACUGUGCGUCUGGAGUGAAGGAGAGGUAAGUGGAAUUCCGAGUGUAGCGGUGAAAUGCGUAGAUAUUAGGAGGAACACCAGUGGCGAAGGCGGCCUACUGGACUGUAACUGACGUUGAGGCUCGAAAGCGUGGGGAGCAAACAGGAUUAGAUACCCGAGUAGUC
Molecule: ribosomal RNA, 440 nt
Filed under: uncultured bacterium
Lineage: Bacteria
Description: partial 16S ribosomal RNA
Rfam family: Bacterial small subunit ribosomal RNA
Source: RNAcentral